Molecule: ribosomal RNA, 2908 nt
Filed under: Serratia ureilytica
Lineage: Bacteria; Pseudomonadati; Pseudomonadota; Gammaproteobacteria; Enterobacterales; Yersiniaceae
Description: 23S ribosomal RNA
Rfam family: Bacterial large subunit ribosomal RNA
Source: RNAcentral
GGUUAAGUGACUAAGCGUACACGGUGGAUGCCUAGGCAGUCAGAGGCGAUGAAGGGCGUGCUAAUCUGCGAAAAGCGUCGGUAAGGUGAUAUGAACCGUUAUAACCGGCGAUACCCGAAUGGGGAAACCCAGUGUGUUUCGACACACUAUCAUGUCAUGAAUACAUAGUGGCAUGAGGCGAACCGGGGGAACUGAAACAUCUAAGUACCCCGAGGAAAAGAAAUCAACCGAGAUUCCCCCAGUAGCGGCGAGCGAACGGGGAGGAGCCCAGAACCUGAAUCGGCUUGUGUGUUAGUGGAAGCGUCUGGAAAGUCGCGCAGCAAAGGGUGAUAGCCCCGUACACUAAAAUGCACAGGUCGUGAGUUCGAUGAGUAGGGCGGGACACGUGACAUCCUGUCUGAAUAUGGGGGGACCAUCCUCCAAGGCUAAAUACUCCUGACUGACCGAUAGUGAACCAGUACCGUGAGGGAAAGGCGAAAAGAACCCCGGCGAGGGGAGUGAAAUAGAACCUGAAACCGUGUACGUACAAGCAGUGGGAGCACCUUCGUGGUGUGACUGCGUACCUUUUGUAUAAUGGGUCAGCGACUUAUAUUUUGUAGCAAGGUUAACCGUAUAGGGGAGCCGUAGGGAAACCGAGUCUUAACUGGGCGACUAGUUGCAAGGUAUAGACCCGAAACCCGGUGAUCUAGCCAUGGGCAGGUUGAAGGUUGGGUAACACUAACUGGAGGACCGAACCGACUAAUGUUGAAAAAUUAGCGGAUGACUUGUGGCUGGGGGUGAAAGGCCAAUCAAACCGGGAGAUAGCUGGUUCUCCCCGAAAGCUAUUUAGGUAGCGCCUCGUGAACUCAUCUUCGGGGGUAGAGCACUGUUUCGGCUAGGGGGCCAUCCCGGCUUACCAAACCGAUGCAAACUCCGAAUACCGAAGAAUGUUAUCACGGGAGACACACGGCGGGUGCUAACGUCCGUCGUGAAGAGGGAAACAACCCAGACCGCCAGCUAAGGUCCCAAAGUCAUGGUUAAGUGGGAAACGAUGUGGGAAGGCAUAGACAGCCAGGAUGUUGGCUUAGAAGCAGCCAUCAUUUAAAGAAAGCGUAAUAGCUCACUGGUCGAGUCGGCCUGCGCGGAAGAUGUAACGGGGCUAAACCAUGCACCGAAGCUGCGGCAGCGACGCUUAGGCGUUGUUGGGUAGGGGAGCGUUCUGUAAGCCGUUGAAGGUGGCCUGUGAGGGUUGCUGGAGGUAUCAGAAGUGCGAAUGCUGACAUAAGUAACGAUAAAGCGGGUGAAAAGCCCGCUCGCCGGAAGACCAAGGGUUCCUGUCCAACGUUAAUCGGGGCAGGGUGAGUCGACCCCUAAGGCGAGGCUGAAAAGCGUAGUCGAUGGGAAACAGGUUAAUAUUCCUGUACUUGGUGUUACUGCGAAGGGGGGACGGAGAAGGCUAGGCUGGCCGGGCGACGGUUGUCCCGGUUUAAGCGUGUAGGGGGUGUGACCUGGUAAAUCCGGUUGCAUAUCAACCCUGAGGCGUGAUGACGAUGCACUACGGUGCAGAAGUAGUUGAUGCCCUGCUUCCAGGAAAAUCCUCUAAGCUCCAGGUAACAUUAAAUCGUACCCCAAACCGACACAGGUGGUCAGGUAGAGAAUACCAAGGCGCUUGAGAGAACUCGGGUGAAGGAACUAGGCAAAAUGGUGCCGUAACUUCGGGAGAAGGCACGCUGGCAUGUAGGUGAAGUCCCUCGCGGAUGGAGCUGAAGCCAGUCGAAGAUACCAGCUGGCUGCAACUGUUUAAUAAAAACACAGCACUGUGCAAACACGAAAGUGGACGUAUACGGUGUGACGCCUGCCCGGUGCUGGAAGGUUAAUUGAUGGGGUCAGCCGCAAGGCGAAGCUCUUGAUCGAAGCCCCAGUAAACGGCGGCCGUAACUAUAACGGUCCUAAGGUAGCGAAAUUCCUUGUCGGGUAAGUUCCGACCUGCACGAAUGGCGUAAUGAUGGCCAGGCUGUCUCCACCCGAGACUCAGUGAAAUUGAACUCGCUGUGAAGAUGCAGUGUACCCGCGGCAAGACGGAAAGACCCCGUGAACCUUUACUAUAGCUUGACACUGAACAUUGAGCCUUGAUGUGUAGGAUAGGUGGGAGGCUUUGAAGCGUGGACGCCAGUCUGCGUGGAGCCAUCCUUGAAAUACCACCCUUUAAUGUUUGAUGUUCUAACUCGGCCCCGUGAUCCGGGGUGAGGACAGUGUCUGGUGGGUAGUUUGACUGGGGCGGUCUCCUCCCAAAGAGUAACGGAGGAGCACGAAGGUUAGCUAAUCACGGUCGGACAUCGUGAGGUUAGUGCAAAGGCAUAAGCUAGCUUGACUGCGAGAGUGACGGCUCGAGCAGGUACGAAAGUAGGUCUUAGUGAUCCGGUGGUUCUGAAUGGAAGGGCCAUCGCUCAACGGAUAAAAGGUACUCCGGGGAUAACAGGCUGAUACCGCCCAAGAGUUCAUAUCGACGGCGGUGUUUGGCACCUCGAUGUCGGCUCAUCACAUCCUGGGGCUGAAGUAGGUCCCAAGGGUAUGGCUGUUCGCCAUUUAAAGUGGUACGCGAGCUGGGUUUAGAACGUCGUGAGACAGUUCGGUCCCUAUCUGCCGUGGGCGUUGGAAGAUUGAGAGGGGUUGCUCCUAGUACGAGAGGACCGGAGUGAACGCACCACUGGUGUUCGGGUUGUCAUGCCAAUGGCAUUGCCCGGUAGCUAAGUGCGGAAAAGAUAAGCGCUGAAAGCAUCUAAGCGCGAAACUUGCCUCAAGAUGAGUCUUCCCUGGGCCUUUAAGGUCCCUGAAGGAACGUUUAAGACUAAGACGUUGAUAGGCUGGGUGUGUAAGUGCAGCGAUGCAUUGAGCUAACCAGUACUAAUGAUCCGUGAGGCUUAACCUU